This 68-nucleotide transfer RNA is filed under the name human gut metagenome. It matches the Rfam family "tRNA". Rfam says of the family: Transfer RNA (tRNA) molecules are approximately 80 nucleotides in length. The record is from RNAcentral.
CGAAGUAGCUCAAUGGCAGAGCAAUCGCCUUGUAAGCGAUAGGUUAUUGGUUCGACUCCGAUUUUCGG